GCCGUCCUAGCUCAGGGGUAGAGCAACUGUUUUGUAAACAGUAGGUCGUCGGUUCAAAUCCGACGGACGGCU
This 72-nucleotide transfer RNA is filed under the name Patescibacteria group bacterium. RNAcentral's name for it is "tRNA-Thr". It matches the Rfam family "tRNA". Rfam says of the family: Transfer RNA (tRNA) molecules are approximately 80 nucleotides in length. The record is from RNAcentral.